Molecule: long non-coding RNA, 550 nt
Filed under: Oryza brachyantha (malo sina)
Lineage: Eukaryota; Viridiplantae; Streptophyta; Magnoliopsida; Poales; Poaceae
Description: long non-coding RNA (OBRA_LNC000692)
Source: RNAcentral
UUAGUUUUAUCAUCCAACGAUCACCUGAGCGAUGGAAGUGAAAGUGAAGCAUCUCGAUCUCUCACGAGGUGACGCAGGGAAGGACUGACACGAGAGUAAAAACUGCAGGUCUGCAGCAUUCACUUCUCCUGUCACCUGCUAAAUACCCAACCUACCCACGGAAUGCAGCAACAACUACAGCACUGCCACUGCACUCAAUACCCUCACACGCUAAAGGCCAAGCAGGGGCAACCGGGCCAUUUCAGGCCCCGGGCCGACGUGUCAGUGCCAUGUCGGAUAACGUCAAAGAAUAGGCACGACCACGCGGCAUGCCACGCCCAUUCCGUCGCGCCACGUCAGCGCCCCGGAUCCCUUUAAAACCUGGCUCCCCUCACUUCGUCUUCUUCAAACAGAUCGACACCGAAAAAUCGAAGCACAAAAGGGAGAAAAAAAAAAGAAGAAAAAAAAGAAAUCGAACCCUAGCCGCGCCGAUCGGACUCAGUGAGACACCGACGAGGAGGGCUAUGCGUGACGCGAUCCUCGGUGAGCCGGAUCCCCCCCCCCGCCGCCN